UAAGGAAUAUUGGUCAAUGGGGGCAACCCUGAACCAGCCAUGCCGCGUGCAGGAAGACGGCCCUACGGGUUGUAAACUGCUUUUAUACGGGAAUAAAUCACGCUACGUGUAGUGUGUUGAAUGUACUGUAAGAAUAAGGAUCGGCUAACUCC
Molecule: ribosomal RNA, 152 nt
Filed under: uncultured Sphingobacteriales bacterium
Lineage: Bacteria; Pseudomonadati; Bacteroidota; Sphingobacteriia; Sphingobacteriales
Description: partial 16S ribosomal RNA
Rfam family: Bacterial small subunit ribosomal RNA
Source: RNAcentral